Molecule: long non-coding RNA, 1885 nt
Organism: Pecten maximus
Lineage: Eukaryota; Metazoa; Mollusca; Bivalvia; Pectinida; Pectinidae
Exons: 2
Source: RefSeq, a predicted model, not a curated record
CUGUGACAUUGCACCAUAAUAGGGAUUUAUAGGCCUGUAAACUAUCAAUGUUUUGACUGGAUUUGCUGUUUAGAUGCCCCUUAAACUAUUAUAUGAUUUAAUUAGUAUAUCUCAAUAAGAUGCUUUCGUUGAUAUUAAUUACCUGGGUACUGUAUAACCACUUAUUUUCGGGUGAAUUAUAUUUUUGCUAAAUUGUGGGUCAUUGAUGUGAUCACAAAAAAUUGAUCUGUGAAGAAUAUGACACGAGUAAAUAUCCACAAUAUAACCUGGGGGUAAGACUGUAGUCGUAAUGUACCGCCAUUAGUCAACUCUACGGGAUUCUGUCCCCUCCAACAUCCACAAUAUAACCUGGGGGUAAGACUGUAGUCGUAAUGUACCGCCAUUAGUCAACUCUACGGGAUUCUGCCCCCUCCAACAUCCACAAUAUAACCUGGGGGUAAGACUGUAGUCAUAAUGUACCGCCAUUAGUCAACUCUACGGGAUUCUGCCCCCUCCAACAUCCACAAUAUAACCUGGGGGUAAGACUGUAGUCGUAAUGUACCGCCAUUAGUCAACUCUACGGGAUUCUGCCCCCUCCAACAUCCACAAUAUAACCUGGGGGUAAGACUGUAGUCGUAAUGUACCGCCAUUAGUCAACUCUACGGGAUUCUGCCCCCUCCAAGAUCCACAAUAUAACCUGGGGGUAAGACUGUAGUCGUAAUGUACCGCCAUUAGUCAACUCUGCCAGAGUCUGCCCCCUCCAACAUCCACAAUAUAACCUGGGGAUAAGACUGUCGUCAUAUUGUACCGCCAUUAGUCAACUCUGCCAGAGUCUGCCCCCUCCAGUCAUCCAAUCGACAAUAGUUGUUCAGAACAGAUUUCAGAUUGAAGUAACUUCAGUAAGCAAAUACAAAAUGUAGUUGUAUUGAUACACUAUGAGUAUCCUUUAGUUCUUUAGAAAGGUGUAAUGUACUAUCAACAGUCAUGAGUAAAAUAUUUUGUAACUUGACAUUGGAAGUGAAAAUUAGAUACAUUAUAUCCUCGUGCUCAUUAAGAUUUCUAUUCUUUUGUUUUUAAUGAAAAUUGCAAAAUUGUUUACCCGCAAAAAUAACAGGCUACACAGUAUAUUUAUAUGUAAGAUAAGUACAACGAGAAGGUUUUAAUUCUUUAUAAUACUGUAAGUGAUCUGUUUUCAUCAAAAUAAUUAUCUAACUUGAGUUAAUCUUCCAUACCCAGACUCUCAGACAACAUAUUUCAAAAUAUGAUACACAAUAUACACAAUAUAUUAAUUGUGAGAUAGGUACUCCUGUAUGAACACUCUCUGACAUGAUAAUAGAGGUUUAAUGGUGACAUUAGAUAGGACUUUAAUAGAGGUUUAAUGGUGACAUUAGAUAUGACUUUAAUAGGGGGUUUUGAAUUAAUGGUGACAUUUCAUCUGGGUAAUUUAAAUUGCUGUGUUUUUGUUUUUUUAUACCAGCAUGUAUUCAUCACACUUGUAUUGUCGAUGUAUCCCACCUGUGUAAGGAGACCUUAGAUCCCCUAAGUAAGAAAGUCCCAGUAUACAUAACUAUACAGGGAUCACAAAACAAUUAUGUCUCAAAUAUUUUCAGUUUCUUGGUAUCAAACUUUUUUGGAAAUAAUGCAUUACAACCUUGAAAUAUUUGAUGAAAUAAAAUGGCCUGUAUGACUAGUCGAUGGCAGAACCUAUUGUAUGUUUAACUGUGAAAAUGUGUUGUUCUCCUGAUUUUGUCCUGCUAUAUCUGCCAGGACAGAUGGCUCAUGAACAGGAAACUUUAAAAUCAUAAUUUCAAUAUAUUUAUGUUGUUUGUUUUUUUAGUUUUUCUUCAAAAGAAUGUCAGUCUUAUAGCUAUUUAUAAAGAAAUUUUAAUAAAGAAAUGUGUAUGUA